GACGAACGCUGGCGGCGUGCUUAACACAUGCAAGUCGAACGGAAAGGCCCUGCUUUUGUGGGGUGCUCGAGUGGCGAACGGGUGAGUAACACGUGAGUAACCUGCCCUUGACUUUGGGAUAACUUCAGGAAACUGGGGCUAAUACCGGAUAGGAGCUCCUGCUGCAUGGUGGGGGUUGGAAAGUUUCGGCGGUUGGGGAUGGACUCGCGGCUUAUCAGCUUGUUGGUGGGGUAGUGGCUUACCAAGGCUUUGACGGGUAGCCGGCCUGAGAGGGUGACCGGGCACAUUGGGACUGGGGUAACGCCCAGACCUCCUCGGGAGGCAGAAGGGGGGAAUAAUGGACCAUGGGCGGAAGCCUGGUGCAGGAACGCCGCGGGCCGGAAUGAGGGCUUCGGGGUGGAAACCGCUUUCGGCUGUGACGGAGGGGUAGUGACGGUAAUGGGUAAAGAAGCACCGGCUAACUACGUG
Molecule: ribosomal RNA, 468 nt
Filed under: uncultured bacterium
Lineage: Bacteria
Description: partial 16S ribosomal RNA
Rfam family: Bacterial small subunit ribosomal RNA
Source: RNAcentral